Molecule: ribosomal RNA, 119 nt
Filed under: Pteropus alecto (black flying fox)
Lineage: Eukaryota; Metazoa; Chordata; Mammalia; Chiroptera; Pteropodidae
Also listed under: 1 other name
Source: RNAcentral
GUCUACAGCCCUGCCACCCAGAAUGAGCCCGAUCUCGUCUGAUCUCGGAAGCUAAGCAGGGUCGGGCCUACUUAGUACUUGGAUGCGAGAUCACCUAGGAUUACCAGGUGCUGUAGGCA